GGGGAUAUAGCUUACUGGGUAGAGUGCUUGCCUUGCAUGCACAAGGCCCUGGGUUCUAAUCCCUAGCACCACCA
Non-coding RNA from Ictidomys tridecemlineatus (thirteen-lined ground squirrel), 74 nucleotides. NCBI's taxonomy places the organism in Eukaryota, Metazoa, Chordata, Mammalia, Rodentia, Sciuridae. The record is from Rfam.